Magnolia sinica is the source of this 1611-nucleotide long non-coding RNA. RefSeq lists it as uncharacterized. NCBI's taxonomy places the organism in Eukaryota, Viridiplantae, Streptophyta, Magnoliopsida, Magnoliales, Magnoliaceae. The record is from RefSeq and is a predicted model, not a curated record. The transcript is spliced from 3 exons.
UUUUUUUAAGAUAGUGCUCUCACUUUUUUACCAUUGAACUACUUCCAUUUCCAUGGAAAUCAUAAAUGCUAAAACAAACUGGUUAUUUAGUAUUCUUUUCCAUAGAUGUCUAUUUCCACAUAUUUCUUCCGAUAUGAAGUUUUCCUUUCCAGAUCUACUUUUAGGAUUCCACCAAUCCAAACAGGCUUAUCGUCAAACCGAACAGAUUUGUUGACAAUGGGAUUACAAUUAAUCCUUUUGGUAAAUCUCUAAGGCCAGGCUUCAUAGAUUCACUUCAGUAUGCAAAUGUCAACAAUAUUUAGCCUUGAUGCUACUGUUUGUUGGCUCACUCGAAAGCCUUCCAUUCCCACUCAGAAAUUAGUCUUUUGUAAUUAGUUUUUUUUGGGUCACAAAAUAGCUUUUUCCGUAUAUUUCUUUUUGUUGUCCUUAAUUCCACUUGAAACUGAUACUAAUUAUCACAAACCAAAUUCAGCUUGCAAGAUUUUCAGUAGAUUGGAGAUGAUCAGACAACAUUCCCCCAAUUCCUUUAGAAUGUUUUCAUGAACUUGGGUUUGAUAGAUAGCAUGAUUGUGGGCAUGUCUUGCAAUUUUUGCAGCUUUAAUAUAGGUUGCUGAAUUAUAUGCACAUGUCUUUCUGUGCUCCAGUAACAAGUCAGAUCCUUCUCCCAAGGAAGGCGAAUCAUAUGGAUGGAAGAUAAGAUAUGAUGAGGAAUUGAGAAGGGCUCAGCUGCCGUUUGAGGAAAUUACAAAGGUGGAGGCUUUUAAGCUGCGGAGACAGGAAUAAUCAGAUCUGAUGAAGUUGGUGAUGUGGCUGAAAUUGGAAAACGAUAUCAUGAACGAACCAGUGGAGGAUUUAAUGAAGAAAAAAUAAAGAACGAGAAACUGGAAUGCAACAUAAGUGAUGCCCGGACUAUAUCAGAUGGUAACUGAUAUUCCCAUGUGGAAUGAAUUCUUCCUCUGAACAUCUCAUGUUCUUUUCAUGUUUCACUUCAAAAUUUGCUCAGAAGGAGCUCUGCUCAUUAGGUAUUUUGCACACAUCCAGUGACAGGUUUCUCCCACAUGAAGUGACUUCCGGAGUACCGAUCAUCAGUUUCCUGAGCUGAAGUUCUACAUUUUCUUCAUCUGUGCUCAAUAUUGUCUGUUCCAAGAACUAGUUGUUGACAUUCAAGAACAUGAAACUGGAUGUAUCCCAUCUUUUAUUGUUCUAGGCCAUAUCAUCGGAUUUCUGUGAGGAAUUCAAAGAUCUGAACUUUCUUUUAUCGCUCUAAAAUCUCCACGCUUUCUCCACGUUGGGUGUGAUUUUGAAUGGGAGCGAUGACUUAAAAAGGCAGAUCAUGCAUUGACUUACUACCCAUCUUUCCUAGAAGAAAAAUCUUUUUUUUUAGUACUAAUAUUGGUUUAGUUGCCAAUAUUAAUUAAACAAAUUAAAGUUAAUGCUUUAACAUGGAAAAACUAAAGUUUGGCCACAUAUACAUCAUAAAUUCAUAAUAUCAGCAUUUUGAAUUUCAAAUUUGAAAAGUCCAUUUUGAAAUGCACGUUAAGAUUCCCACCCACCAUUUAUUGAUGGCGGAAGAUAUGGGCAUGCCAAGUCUCGGUUAACAUUGGGUGCACA